GCCUUAGUAGUGUAACGGUAACACACUCGGCGCGUAUUCGAGAGGUCCAGGUUCGAGUCCCAACGAGGGCA
This 71-nucleotide transfer RNA is filed under the name Stegodyphus mimosarum. It matches the Rfam family "tRNA". Rfam says of the family: Transfer RNA (tRNA) molecules are approximately 80 nucleotides in length. Their secondary structure includes four short double-helical elements and three loops (D, anti-codon, and T loops). Lineage: Eukaryota; Metazoa; Arthropoda; Arachnida; Araneae; Eresidae. The record is from Rfam by way of RNAcentral.